This 509-nucleotide ribosomal RNA is filed under the name uncultured Glomus. Its description in RNAcentral is "SSU rRNA". It matches the Rfam family "Eukaryotic small subunit ribosomal RNA", at positions 569 to 1082 of the family's 1831-position model. Lineage: Eukaryota; Fungi; Glomeromycota; Glomeromycetes; Glomerales; Glomeraceae. The record is from RNAcentral.
AGCAGCCGCGGUAAUUCCAGCUCCAAUAGCGUAUAUUAAAGUUGUUGCAGUUAAAAAGCUCGUAGUUGGAUUUCGGGGUUAGCAGGUCGGUCGUGCCAUUGGUAUGAACUGGUCUCGCUGAUCCCUCCCUCUUGACGAACUGUGAUGCCAUUAAUUUGGUGUCGCAGGGAAUCAGGACUGUUACUUUGAAAAAAUUAGAGUGUUUAAAGCAGGCUCACGCUUGAAUACAUUAGCAUGGAAUAAUGAAAUAGGACGUUUGAUCCUAUUUUGUUGGCUUCUAGGAUUGACGUAAUGAUUAAUAGGGAUAGUUGGGGGCAUUAGUAUUCAAUUGUCAGAGGUGAAAUUCUUGGAUUUAUUGAAGACUAACUACUGCGAAAGCAUUUGCCAAGGAUGUUUUCAUUAAUCAAGAACGAAAGUUAGGGGAUCGAAGACGAUCAGAUACCGUCGUAGUCUUAACCAUAAACUAUGCCGACUAGGGAUCGGAUGAUGUUAAUUUUUUAAUGUACUCU